This 379-nucleotide ribosomal RNA is filed under the name uncultured bacterium. RNAcentral describes it as "bacterial SSU rRNA". It matches the Rfam family "Bacterial small subunit ribosomal RNA", at positions 30 to 411 of the family's 1533-position model. The record is from RNAcentral.
AUUGAACGCUGGCGGCAGGCCUAACACAUGCAAGUCGAGCGGAUGAAGAGAGCUUGCUCUCUGAUUCAGCGGCGGACGGGUGAGUAAUGCCUAGGAAUCUGCCUGGUAGUGGGGGACAACGUUUCGAAAGGAACGCUAAUACCGCAUACGUCCUACGGGAGAAAGCAGGGGACCUUCGGGCCUUGCGCUAUCAGAUGAGCCUAGGUCGGAUUAGCUAGUUGGUGAGGUAAUGGCUCACCAAGGCGACGAUCCGUAACUGGUCUGAGAGGAUGAUCAGUCACACUGGAACUGAGACACGGUCCAGACUCCUACGGAGGCAGCAGUGGGAAUAUUGGACAAUGGCGAAAGCCUAGAUCCAGCCAUGCCGCGUGUGUGAAGA